AAGUCGUAACAAGGUAUCCGUAGGUGAACCUGCGGAUGGAUCAUUACCAAUUUUAUAUACUAGUGUGUAUGCCGCUGUCAAAGGUGGUACUACACUACUACUAUUAUGUAAACGUUGAACUAGAUCAAUUGGUGUGGAUUGCUUGGGAAUGGACGAAGCGACAAGCCUCUUCCGGACAGGCAAACCCCACACUGAUAACCCUUUUCAAUAUAAUUUACUAGUACAUACUACAAACAAACAAAAGCUAUAAUAGGACUUAUAAACAGGCUGAGUGGGUAAAAUCCUCGGCUUAACCAAUAUAACUAUUACAACUUUCAGCAAUGGAUCUCUAGGCUCUC
This 338-nucleotide unclassified non-coding RNA is filed under the name Ramicandelaber taiwanensis. RNAcentral's name for it is "partial internal transcribed spacer region". The stretch from base 1 to 46 matches the Rfam family "Eukaryotic small subunit ribosomal RNA", at positions 1786 to 1831 of the family's 1831-position model. Lineage: Eukaryota; Fungi; Kickxellomycota; Ramicandelaberales; Ramicandelaberaceae. RNAcentral also lists the same sequence under 1 other name. The record is from RNAcentral.